RNAcentral lists this long non-coding RNA (358 nucleotides) under Pan troglodytes (chimpanzee). Its description in RNAcentral is "long non-coding RNA NONPTRT002174". Lineage: Eukaryota; Metazoa; Chordata; Mammalia; Primates; Hominidae. The record is from RNAcentral.
UUCAACUAACUCUGUAGAGAUCAAACUAAUUGGCAUGGAUGGCAGCAGGACACGAUGAGCCAGAUAAGUGGUUCUCCAAGAAUGAUCCCCAGACUAGCUGCAUGAGCAUCAGCUGUCAUGCAGAAAUUAAGAUUCUCAUUCCAAAGGAGUCCUACCUCAUACCUGGAAGGAAGAAAUGCUACAACAGAGAGGCCAAGAAGAAUCUCAACAGACAAGCCUUGCUAGUUUUCCUCACUUAGGCCACUAUCAUUAGAGCACUCUGUUUUCAUUCAAGCACAAUUCUAUCACUGCCCAUUCUUCAUUAAACCUAAGCAUAAAAAUGCAGUUUUCCCCUGUAUCGUCAGGACUUCAUUCAGAA